This 376-nucleotide ribosomal RNA is filed under the name uncultured bacterium. RNAcentral describes it as "bacterial SSU rRNA". It matches the Rfam family "Bacterial small subunit ribosomal RNA", at positions 30 to 404 of the family's 1533-position model. The record is from RNAcentral.
AUUGAACGCUGGCGGCAUGCUUUACACAUGCAAGUCGAACGGCAGCACGGGUGCUUGCACCUGGUGGCGAGUGGCGGACGGGUGAGUAAUGCAUCGGAACGUGUCCUGAAGUGGGGGAUAACGCAUCGAAAGAUGUGCUAAUACCGCAUAUUCUCUGAGGAGGAAAGUAGGGGAUCGAAAGACCUUAUGCUUUUGGAGCGGCCGAUGUCUGAUUAGCUAGUUGGUAGGGUAAUGGCUUACCAAGGCGACGAUCAGUAGUUGGUCUGAGAGGACGACCAGCCACACUGGGACUGAGACACGGCCCAGACUCCUACGGGAGGCAGCAGUGGGGAAUUUUGGACAAUGGGCGAAAGCCUGAUCCAGCCAUGCCGCGUGC